Molecule: ribosomal RNA, 1035 nt
Filed under: Rosellinia necatrix
Lineage: Eukaryota; Fungi; Ascomycota; Sordariomycetes; Xylariales; Xylariaceae
Description: partial large subunit ribosomal RNA
Rfam family: Eukaryotic large subunit ribosomal RNA
Source: RNAcentral
CCAUGCGGAGAGACCAACAGGGAUUGCCUCAGUAACGGCGAGUGAAGCGGCAACAGCUCAAAUUUGAAAUCUGGCCCUCGGGUCCGAGUUGUAAUUUGUAGAGGAUGCUUUUGGCGCGGUGCCUUCCGAGUUCCCUGGAACGGGACGCCUUAGAGGGUGAGAGCCCCGUACGGUUGGACACCAAGCCUCUGUAAAGCUCCUUCGACGAGUCGAGUAGUUUGGGAAUGCUGCUCUAAAUGGGAGGUAAAUUUCUUCUAAAGCUAAAUAUUGGCCAGAGACCGAUAGCGCACAAGUAGAGUGAUCGAAAGAUGAAAAGCACUUUGAAAAGAGGGUUAAAUAGCACGUGAAAUUGUUGAAAGGGAAGCGUUUGCGACCAGACCUUUUCCUGGCGGAUCAUCCGGUGUUCUCACCGGUGCACUUCGCCAGGUCGAGGCCAGCAUCGGUUUCCGCGGGGGGAUAAAAGCUCUGGGAACGUAGCUCCUCCGGGAGUGUUAUAGCCCUCUGCACAAUACCCCCGCGGGGACCGAGGACCGCGCUCUAAGCAAGGAUGCUGGCGUAAUGGUUGUCAACGACCCGUCUUGAAACACGGACCAAGGAGUCGAACAUUUGUGCGAGUGUUUGGGUGUCAAACCCUCACGCGUAAUGAAGGUGAACGUAGGUGAGAGCCCUUACGGGUGCAUCAUCGACCGAUCCUGAUGUCUUCGGAUGGAUUUGAGUAAGAGCAUAACUGUUCGGACCCGAAAGAUGGUGAACUAUGCGUGGAUAGGGUGAAGCCAGAGGAAACUCUGGUGGAGGCUCGCAGCGGUUCUGACGUGCAAAUCGAUCGUCAAAUCUGCGCAUGGGGGCGAAAGACUUAUCGAACCAUCUAGUAGCUGGUUACCGCCGAAGUUUCCCUCAGAUAGCAGUGUUGUUCUUCAGUUUUAUGAGGUAAAGCGAAUGAUUAUGGACUCGGGGGCGCUUUUUUGCCUUCAUCCAUUCUCAAACUUUAAAUAUGUAAGAAGCCCUUGUUACUUAAUUGAACGGUGGGCAUUCGAA